Molecule: small nuclear RNA, 273 nt
Filed under: Microtus ochrogaster (prairie vole)
Lineage: Eukaryota; Metazoa; Chordata; Mammalia; Rodentia; Cricetidae
Description: 7SK RNA (ENSMOCG00000008117.1)
Rfam family: 7SK RNA
About the family: 7SK was discovered as an abundant small nuclear RNA in the mid-70s but a possible function has only recently been suggested. Two independent studies have found that 7SK RNA binds the CDK9/cyclin T complex (known as elongation factor P-TEFb). P-TEFb activates transcription by phosphorylating the C-terminal domain of RNA polymerase II.
Source: RNAcentral
GAGUUUGAAGGUGUCUGACUGACAUCUGUCACCCCAUGGAGCCCAGGGCUUGGUUUCCCUGGCUGACUGGCUAGGUAGCUGUCCCCUUCUUCCCUUACUGCUCCAUGAAGGCCUUUCUGGAAGCCACUCAAUCCAUCAAGGUGGACAACCUUCCCCACCACAGCAGGGCCAUUCCUUUGGUCAAGGAUAUCCAAAUAACUAUGCUCCUUGCAAAUCAGCCUUCACGGAAAUUAAAAUAUCUACACAUAGACUUGAGUAAGUCACUUGCAGAGU